GACGAACGCUGGCGGCGUGCUUAACACAUGCAAGUCGAGCGAUGAAGCUUCUUCGGAAGCUGAUUAGCGGCGGACGGGUGAGUAACACGUGGGCAACCUGCCCUAUAGAGGGGAAUAGCCUUCCGAAAGGAAGAUUAAUACCCCAUAAGAUUGUAGUUUCACAUGGAGCAGCAAUUAAAGGAGUAAUCCGCUAUAGGAUGGGCCCGCGUCGCAUUAGCUAGUUGGUGAGGUAACGGCUCACCAAGGCGACGAUGCGUAGCCGACCUGAGAGGGUGAUCGGCCACAUUGGGACUGAGACACGGCCCAGACUCCUACGGGAGGCAGCAGUGGGGAAUAUUGCACAAUGGGGGAAACCCUGAUGCAGCAACGCCGCGUGAGUGAUGAAGGCCUUCGGGUUGUAAAGCUCUGUCUUUGGGGACGAUAAUGACGGUACCCAAGGAGGAAGCCACGGCUAACUACGUGCCAGCAGCCGCGGUAAU
This 479-nucleotide ribosomal RNA is filed under the name uncultured bacterium. RNAcentral's name for it is "bacterial SSU rRNA". It matches the Rfam family "Bacterial small subunit ribosomal RNA", at positions 28 to 524 of the family's 1533-position model. The record is from RNAcentral.